This 432-nucleotide ribosomal RNA is filed under the name Triticum aestivum (bread wheat). RNAcentral describes it as "partial small subunit ribosomal RNA". The record is from RNAcentral. Lineage: Eukaryota; Viridiplantae; Streptophyta; Magnoliopsida; Poales; Poaceae.
AUGACACUCGGUCGAGGCUGCGUCUUGGCGGUUCAACGAGGGUCGAAAAGGAGCACGGCGAAGCUCGUGAUGGACGGGGAGCGCAGCCUGGAGGCAGCAGCAGCGGUUGGUAGCGUGUGCGGGCGGCGUGUGGAGGCGGAGCAGGGAACUUGGCGCGGUUGUGGCUUCACCUUGCAGAGGAGGUCAACGCAGUCGGCCACCAGGAAGACGAAGGCGAGCUUGAGCGGCGAGACUUGGUGGCGGGGCCGGUGCAAGGAGACGGGGCAGCAUGGGAGGCGAAGGCCGGCGAAGGCGUUUGGGAGAGGAGCUCCUAGUUCAUGGCGGCAGAGGAGCUCCAGCAGUGCCGAGGCGGCGACAGGGGAGGAAGGUCAGCGGGGAGGCACGAUCCACGAGAUGGACGGCGCGGGCUGCAGGAUCCGGCUGAAGGCAUGA